CCGUGCUAGACGGGGAAAUAGCGGAGCCUUGUAACCCGCAAUCCGCUCCAGCGGGGUUGAAUUCCUUUCCUGAGGCUGUCGUGCUGUAAGGUCUGCCUUAAGUAAGUGGUGUUGACACCCGGGUCCUGCGCAAUGGGAAUCCAUGAACCAUGUCAGGUCCGGAAGGAAGCAGCAUUAAGUGGAAGCUCUCAUGUGCCGCAGGGUUGCCUGGGUCGAGCUAACUGCUUAAGUAACGCUUAUGGCACACAGUCGAAGGAAGGUGCACGG
RNAcentral lists this signal recognition particle RNA (267 nucleotides) under Bacillus sp. FJAT-50079. RNAcentral describes it as "Bacterial large signal recognition particle RNA". It matches the Rfam family "Bacterial large signal recognition particle RNA". Rfam says of the family: The signal recognition particle (SRP) is a universally conserved ribonucleoprotein involved in the co-translational targeting of proteins to membranes. Archaeal SRP consists of a 7S RNA and homologues of the eukaryotic SRP19 and SRP54 proteins. In most bacteria, the SRP consists of a 4.5S RNA and the Ffh protein (a homologue of the eukaryotic SRP54 protein). The record is from Rfam by way of RNAcentral. Lineage: Bacteria; Bacillati; Bacillota; Bacilli; Caryophanales; Bacillaceae.